CGGGUCGUGUAAGUAGUCGAGUAGCCUUGUUGUUACGAGCUACUGAGCGUAAGCCCGAUGCUAGCUUGGUUGAAA
RNAcentral lists this ribosomal RNA (75 nucleotides) under Leptosphaeria sclerotioides. RNAcentral's name for it is "partial 28S ribosomal RNA". The record is from RNAcentral. Lineage: Eukaryota; Fungi; Ascomycota; Dothideomycetes; Pleosporales; Leptosphaeriaceae.